CCUACGGGUUGCAGCAGUGGGGAAUGUUGCACAAUGGGCGCAAGCCUGAUGCAGCCAUGCCGCGUGUAUGAAGAAGGCCUUCGGGUUGUAAAGUACUUUCAGCGAGGAGGAAGGCAUCAAGGUUAAUAACCUUGGUGAUUGACGUUACUCGCAGAAGAAGCACCGGCUAACUCCGUGCCAGCAGCCGCGGUAAUACGGAGGGUGCAAACGUUAAUCGGAAUUACUGGGCGUAAAGCGCACGCAGGCGGUCUGUCAAGUCAGAUGUGAAAUCCCCGGGCUCAACCUGGGAACUGCAUUUGAAACUGGCAAGCUAGAGUCUCGUAGAGGGGGGUAGAAUUCCAGGUGUAGCGGUGAAAUGCGUAGAGAUCUGGAGGAAUACCGGUGGCGAAGGCGGCCCCCUGGACGAAGACUGACGCUCAGGUGCGAAAGCGUGGGGAGCAAACAGGAUUAGAUACCCUCGUAGUC
RNAcentral lists this ribosomal RNA (465 nucleotides) under uncultured bacterium. Its description in RNAcentral is "bacterial SSU rRNA". It matches the Rfam family "Bacterial small subunit ribosomal RNA", at positions 338 to 795 of the family's 1533-position model. The record is from RNAcentral.